AGCGAGGUGGGGAAGCCAGGUCAUCCCGGCGGGCUCAUAACCCGCAGAACGGUGGUUCAAAUCCACCCCUCGCUA
Molecule: transfer RNA, 75 nt
Filed under: Nitrososphaerota archaeon
Lineage: Archaea; Thermoproteati; Nitrososphaerota
Description: Thaumarchaeota archaeon tRNA-Met
Rfam family: tRNA
About the family: Transfer RNA (tRNA) molecules are approximately 80 nucleotides in length. Their secondary structure includes four short double-helical elements and three loops (D, anti-codon, and T loops).
Source: RNAcentral